Molecule: ribosomal RNA, 253 nt
Filed under: uncultured bacterium
Lineage: Bacteria
Description: partial 16S ribosomal RNA
Rfam family: Bacterial small subunit ribosomal RNA
Source: RNAcentral
UACAGAGGUCCCAAGCGUUGUUCGGAUUCAUUGGGCGUAAAGGGUGCGUAGGUGGCGCUGUAAGUCGGGUGUGAAAUUUCGGAGCUUAACUCCGAAACUGCAUUCGAUACUGCGGUGCUUGAGGACUGGAGAGGAGACUGGAAUUCAUGGUGUAGCAGUGAAAUGCGUAGAGAUCAUGAGGAAGACCAGUGGCGAAGGCGGGUCUCUGGACAGUUCCUGACACUGAGACACGAAGACCAGGGGAGCAAACGGG